This 1531-nucleotide ribosomal RNA is filed under the name metagenome. RNAcentral's name for it is "bacterial SSU rRNA". It matches the Rfam family "Bacterial small subunit ribosomal RNA". The record is from RNAcentral.
GGGUUUGAUCCUGGCUCAGAACGAACGCUGGCGGCGUGGAUUAGGCAUGCAAGUCGAGCGAGAAAGGGAUUCUUCGGAAGCCCGAGUAAAGCGGCGAAAGGGUGAGUAAUACAUGGAUAACCUACCCCUGAGAGGGGGACAACACCUGGAAACGGGUGCUAAUACCCCAUGAGACCACGGGUUCACGGACCUGUGCUCAAAGAUGGCCUCUAUUUAUAAGCUUUCGCUCAGGGAGGGGUUCAUGGCCUAUUAGCUUGUUGGUGGGGUAACGGCCUACCAAGGCUAUUAUGGGUAGCAGGGCUGAGAGGUUGUUCUGCCACACUGGGACUGAGACACUGCCCAGACUCCUCCGGGAGGCUGCAGUCGAGAAUCUUUCGCAAUGCGCGCAAGCGUGACGGAGUGACGCCGCGUGGACGAUGAAGGCCUUCGGGUUGUAAAGUCCAAUCGCAGGGGAAGAACGGUGGGAGGGAAAUACUCUGCCCAUUAGACGUUACCCUGGUCGAAGCGCCGGCUAAACACGUGCCAGCAGCCGCGGUAAUACGUGUGGCGCAAGCGUUGUUCGGAAUCACUGGGCAUAAAGAGUGCGUAGGCGGUGUCGUAAGUCGGGUGUGAAAGCCCUCGGCUCAACCGAGGAAUUGCAUCCGAAACUGCGGCGCUAGAGUACGGUAGGGGGGAGUGGAAUUCCUGGUGGAGCGGUGAAAUGCGUAGAUAUCAGGAGGAACGCCGGUGGCGAAGGCGACUCUCUGGCCCGUUACUGACGCUGAGUGCACGAAAGCUAGGGGAGCAAACAGGAUUAGAUACCCUGGUAGUCCUAGCUGUAAACGAUGGGCACUAGGUAGUGGGAGUUACCGACAUUCUCACUGCUGUAGCAAAUGUAUUAAGUGCCCCGCCUGGGGAGUAUGCUCGCAAGGGUGAAACUCAAAGGAAUUGACGGGGGCUCACACAAGCGGUGGAGCAUGUUGUUUAAUUCGAGGCUACGCGAAGAACCUUACCUGGGCUUGAAAUGGUAGGGAUAACUCCUGUGAAAGCAGGGGGAUUGCUCUUCGGAGUGUAACCUACCACAGGUGCUGCAUGGCUGUCGUCAGCUCGUGUCGUGAGAUGUUGGGUUAAGUCCCGUAACGAGCGAAACCCCUGUCCCUAGUUGCCAGCGGAUAGAGCCGGGGACUCUAGGGAGACUGCCGGUGUUAAACCGUGAGGAAGGUGGGGACGACGUCAAGUCAUCAUGGCCUUUAUGUCCAGGGCUACAAACGUGCUACAAUGGCCGAUACAAAGGGAUGCAAUGCCGCGAGGUGGAGCAAAUCCCAAAAAAAAUCGGCCCCAGUUCAGAUUGAAGGCUGCAAUUCGCCUUCAUGAAGUUGGAAUCGCUAGUAAUCCCGUAUCAGCCAUGACGGGGUGAAUGUGUUCCUGAGCCUUGUACACACCGCCCGUCAAGCCACCUAAGCAGGGCGCACCCGAAAUCGUUAACCCAACCCGCAAGGGAGGGAGGCGCUGACGGUGAGCUUUGUGAGGGGGACUAAGUCGGAACAAGGUA